CCUACGGGAGACAGCAGUGAGGAAUAUUGGUCAAUGGGCGGGAGCCUGAACCAGCCAAGCCGCGUGAGGGAAGAAGGUACAGCGUAUCGUACACCUCUUUUGUCAGGGAACAAAGGCGGGGACUAGUCCCCGGAUGAGGGUACCUGAAGAAAAAGCAUCGGCUCACUCCGUGCCAGCGGCCGCGGUAGUACGGGGGAUGCGAGCGUUAUCCGGAUUUCUUGGGUUUAUCGGGUGCGCAGGCGGCCUGUUACGUCAGCGGGAAAAGCCCGGGGCUCAACCCCGGCGAGCCGUUGAAACUGGCGGGCUGGAGUUGGAGAGAAGGAAGCGGAAUGCGCGGUGUAGCGGUGAAAUGCUUAGAUAUCGCGCAGAACCCCGAUUGCGAAGGCAGCGUACCGGCUCCACACUGACGCUGAGGCACGAAAGCGUGGGUAUCGAACAGGAUUAGAGACCCUGGUAGUC
RNAcentral lists this ribosomal RNA (459 nucleotides) under uncultured bacterium. RNAcentral's name for it is "partial 16S ribosomal RNA". It matches the Rfam family "Bacterial small subunit ribosomal RNA", at positions 338 to 795 of the family's 1533-position model. The record is from RNAcentral.